AACUGGCCUGAAUAUACUGUGUUCCUAUGCUGAGGGGAGUUGGGGGGGGGGAGCCUAGAGGUCUGGUAUAUGGCACAGCGUUCAAACAGACACGCCAUUCCAUAGAUGCCUUUAAAAAUCAGAUUAAAGUUUUCUAACGAGGAUGUGUGGGGUUUUGUUUCUGGACUCCAACUGGGCAAUCUCGGAGAAUGGGAUUGUCCCAGAGGAGACGCGGGGAGAACAUUAGCAUCAGCUGUCCAUUUAAAGCAGCGGGUGUGUGGUGAGAAGAGGAGGGGUGCUGGAGUCGUCAAGGCCAGGAGGUGCUGGAGGAGGAGAGGCUGCGAGAACCUCUGUGCAUCGCCUCUGCAGACAGCAUGCGCUGCUUAGCCUGCUGGGAACCAAGAGGAACAGCGGCUGCUUAAGUUCUUGCCUAGGAUGCUGGUCCAGCAACUCCAGACGUGCUGUCGCCUUCUCACCUCCUCUGCUGAGAGCUACAGAUCCUUCGUUGACAGACAGGGAGGGAAAUGUGCAAAUGGAGUGGACAGAGCAAUUUGUCCUCUGAGAGGCUCCAUCCAGCAGCUGACUCAGACAGAUGCAGACAUCCACAGCCAAACAGAGGAUGGAGCUUGGGGACUCCUAUGGAAGACUAGGAGGAAGAAUUGUGGACUCCGAAGGGGAUAGGAACUCCACAGGAAGACCAACAAAGUCAACUAACCCUUGGGAUUUCAGCGUCUGAACCACCAACCAAAGAACAUACACAGGCUGGACCUAGGCCUCCCCACAUAUAUGUACAGUUGGACCUCCACGUGGGUCCUCAACAACUGGACCGAGGGCCAUC
RNAcentral lists this long non-coding RNA (817 nucleotides) under Mus caroli (Ryukyu mouse). RNAcentral's name for it is "lncRNA (MGP_CAROLIEiJ_G0005780.1)". The record is from RNAcentral. Lineage: Eukaryota; Metazoa; Chordata; Mammalia; Rodentia; Muridae.